AUGCUCACCUGCCUCGCCGCCCUGCUGACUCCGGCGAGGACGUGCCUCCCCUCUGCCGCUUCCACUGCCUCCUGCCAUGGCCUCCUCCUCGCCUCGAAGCUCCGCGCCCUGGGCGUCUUCCUCGCGCACCUUGCCAUGGUCUUGUGCCCCUCGAACCAGCAGGACGAUGCCCUGCCUUGCCGCCGUUCGCCUCCGGCGAGCAUCCGCAGAAGCUCAUCCACCUCGCCAUGCUCCUGCUUCCUCCCCAGCGCUGCCCCUGCCCGAGUCAAGUGCCACCAGUUGCUAGCUUCGAUCCGUUGCAUCCUUCCUGAAUGGAACCGCCAAGAGCCCUUUUCGGCGAGACCAAGCCCGCAAGUUCCACGGAUCUGCAAAGUACCUCUACGCACGUUUACGCCAAGAUCAUCUCGGAAAACGCCAAAUACCCCUACGCGCGAAGACGCCUAA
This 444-nucleotide ribosomal RNA is filed under the name Triticum aestivum (bread wheat). RNAcentral describes it as "partial small subunit ribosomal RNA". Lineage: Eukaryota; Viridiplantae; Streptophyta; Magnoliopsida; Poales; Poaceae. The record is from RNAcentral.